This is a long non-coding RNA of Acipenser ruthenus (sterlet), 2430 nucleotides long. RefSeq lists it as uncharacterized. The transcript has 4 exons. The record is from RefSeq and is a predicted model, not a curated record. Lineage: Eukaryota; Metazoa; Chordata; Actinopteri; Acipenseriformes; Acipenseridae.
AUCAUAUUUGUUAUGUAAUUUACACAAUCCAUGAUACAUAGCAAAUUCAAAACUAAUUAAAAAACUAAUAUACAAUAAGUUUUAAAAAAUCAGUGUACAAUAGUUACAAUUUUGAAAGCAAACAAAAAACAGACCAUGUGCUAUAGUACUUUCUAACACAGACUUAGACAGUGAUAAUUAUCAACGUUUAGUUUUUUGGUACACUGAUGGAUUGUCCGACGUGAUGGAGGAUGCAGUCAGAAUCUGUCUGCAAAAAAUGAAGUGAUUAGGUCUAUGAUUGCCUUAAAACAAUGCAGUACAGCUGCCGAGUUUGAAAAGAUGUCAAAGGAAGUGAUUGUCAAAACAGACAGAGAAACUGGCAGUUCAGUAAUUUCACAGUAUCUACAGGACCAUUGGUUUCGAAAUGCAGACAUGUGGGCCAAUUUUGGACGGAGAGUUUACCACCAAGACAGUGAAACGAACAACCUUGUUGAGAGAUUUUUUUUCAGCAUGAAGUAUCAGUUUCUUCAUGGCUAUGCAAACAGACGAGUUGAUGAACUACUUCUACUACUUAAUACCAAGGUGGUCACUUACUAGAGGUAUCUGGAAGGUCUUCAUGGUGCUCAGAGGAUUUCUGAUUCCAAAACACAGGAUACUGCAGAAUCUGCAUUACGUACGAAGAACAAAGGCCUUCAAAAUAAAUUUGUUUACAAAUCAGGUGGCCAUUGCACAGUGCCUUCAGAAGCAGAUAAAGCAAAAUGUUAUGCUGUGGAUUUAAUUAGCAUGAAAUGUGAAUGCGCCGUUUCUGAAAGGGGUAAUUUGUGCAAGCAUAUUGAGUUUGCAAAAAUGAUGUGCAAAGAACAGGGGAUUGAUAUUGAUGGAAUUCGAAAAGAAUUAGCCAGUUCACUAACUGAACAGCAUUGCUAUGAGUGGGAUGGAAAACAUUUAAUUGUACAUUGUGCUGGUAGUUUUGGAGUAGUACAUGUGCAAAACCAACAGUGUACCUGUCUUGCCAAUAGUCUUGGAGAAAUAUGUGUCUGUCUAAGACUUUCUGAGAUAAUUGGUACACAGAACCCUAACCAAGAGGUAACGGACUGCUUUGUGAAUACCACAGCAAAUUGUCAAUCACACAAUAAACAGUUGUGUGUAAAGAAAAUGAUUUCAGACUUAAAGGAGUGGUGUGACAGCAGUGAUUAUAAGGAAUCUCCAGAGUUGAAUGCUGUAGUAAAACGUGCACACCAACUAGCAUUUGGACAUGUGGCAAAGUGCCCCGCCCCUGUGUGCAUUUGUGUGAUCUGUGUAUGUAUAUGCGUGCGUAUGUUAAUGUUGGUGUAUAGAUUGGUACACGGGAUAUAAACGGGUCUGUGUUUCACGUGUGUUUAAAGUGUAUAAUUAUAUUUAGGCACGAGGAUGGCACAUCACUUCACGUGCAGAUAAAAUGUGUAUAAUGUGUGGCACGGGGUUGCACGUAAUGAAUUCACGUGCUGGGAUUCAAGUGAGUAAUUAAUUAGUAAUUGAAUCCCAGCACAACAGUAUAUAUAGAGACACAUUUUCACUCACUGGGGGUUGGUGUUCGGUGAGUGGAGAACGGGAGAGAGAGAAGGAGAAAAGAAAGUCUAAAGUAAAGUAAUUAGUGUUAUCUGCUCACCGUGUUUGUCCGUUUGUCUGUUCACUGUUUAGUCCGUUUUGUUUAUAUGUUUCUUUUGGCGUCAAGUGCCGUGUCCCGUGUUUUUGUGUUUCAAACCUUUUAUUUUCUGUUUAUUAAAUGCUGAGCGCGAUCACGCGCCCAGCUUAUACCAAACUCCAAGUCUCUCUGUAUUCCUUCCUGCUUCUGGUCUGACGCCACCCACUCUGGCCGUCUUUGUGACACGUGGUGUCAUCGUGGGAUAACAGCGCCUCCAAGCGUCAGACCAGGAGAGGGGGUUUUGUGUUUAAAAAAAAAAAAAAAAAAAAAAAAAAAAACCACAGGACUGGUUUCAAAAAAAAAAAAAAGUGAAAAUGGAAGGCUGGAGAGACGGCUGCCGGGACCUGGAGGACCUCCUCGGGGGCCUCGAGGACCAAGGCUGGUGCAUGGCCUGUGGAGUCUACGGACACACGGUGGCGAUCUGCCCCUUCCAAGGUGAGGAGGAGGAGGAACCGGAUAAAGAGGUGAAGGACAGGGAGGAGGAGUGCCGCCUAAGGGCCAGGCAUCCACGGCGAUGUAACAAGCCAUCGCCGGGGUGCCUCCUCUGCGACCAGGAUCACCUGUUCGCCCACUGUCCCUUCCGCAGCUAUGGGGAGGAGCCUGAGCGUCCACAGACCAAGCGGGAGGAGCCUGAGCGUCCACAGCCCAAAUGGGAGGAGCCUGAACGUCCUACGCCUGAGUGGGAGGAGCCCGAACGUCCUACGCCUGAGUGGGAGGAGCCCGAACGUCCUACGCCUGAGUGGGAGGAGCCCGAACGUCCUACGCCU